Molecule: long non-coding RNA, 618 nt
Organism: Drosophila yakuba
Lineage: Eukaryota; Metazoa; Arthropoda; Insecta; Diptera; Drosophilidae
Exons: 2
Source: RefSeq, a predicted model, not a curated record
GCUAUAAGUAUAUUUCAAAGUAGAAAAGAAUAUUCUACAAAGACGCAUGGAGCCAGGAGAGACCUCCGGAUGCGCCUGGCACUUCUCUUAUAGCUUAAGCGACUGCACCCGAUAGUAGUCAUCAAAAUACACAGACAGACAGUCGAAGCAGCAGAUAUCCAAAGUGCCCGGGGCCAAAGGGAUGGCUCUGAAUGUGAGCCUCGCACUGAAAUGGACUGGCCUGGAUCGGACUGGAGUGGACGGAACUGGACUGGACGGAUUUAACUCCCAGGUAGUCACGGCCAGUCACGGGUGGGCGCAUAUGCAAAAGCUCAGCGCCUCGGACUUUCAGAUCCACCAGCGGUCCAGGCUCCCUCGCCAUGGCAAUUUAACACACUUUGGCGCGUGAAUUAGGGCCAAUUUGGGAAUUAAGUAAUCUGGCUCUGGGUUUUGGAUACUGGACAACAUCAGUUGGCGUUGCGUGCUGAGCUGGCCGAUGGUUUAUUAGUGACACUUUGCCGAUCAUGGAUAUAUAUUAUCUCGCCUAUUUGAUCUUGCUCAUUUGAAAUGUAUUAAUGAUUGACCUUAUUAAGAUCUUGUGUUUAGCUAAGCUAUAGUAUGUGCAUAUAUCCUGGCAAA